CGGAUACGGUAUCGCCAAGCGGUAAGGCACCGGUUUUUGAUACCGGCAUUCCCUGGUUCGAAUCCAGGUACCCCAGCCA
Molecule: transfer RNA, 79 nt
Filed under: Klebsiella pneumoniae
Lineage: Bacteria; Pseudomonadati; Pseudomonadota; Gammaproteobacteria; Enterobacterales; Enterobacteriaceae
Description: tRNA-Gln
Rfam family: tRNA
About the family: Transfer RNA (tRNA) molecules are approximately 80 nucleotides in length.
Source: RNAcentral